RNAcentral lists this ribosomal RNA (1299 nucleotides) under metagenome. RNAcentral describes it as "bacterial LSU rRNA". It matches the Rfam family "Bacterial large subunit ribosomal RNA", at positions 1634 to 2925 of the family's 2925-position model. The record is from RNAcentral.
CUACACGACCGUACCGCAAACCGACACUGGUGCGCGAGAUGAGUAUUCUAAGGCGCUUGAGAGAACUCAGGAGAAGGAACUCGGCAAAUUGACACCGUAACUUCGGAAGAAGGUGUGCCUUUAGUAGGUGAACCUGUACAAGGGGAGCCCAAUGAGGUUGCAAAAAAUCGGUGGCUGCGACUGUUUAAUAAAAACACAGCACUCUGCAAACACGAAAGUGGACGUAUAGGGUGUGACGCCUGCCCGGUGCUGGAAGAUUAAAUGAUGGGGUGCAAGCUCUUGAUUGAAGUCCCAGUAAACGGCGGCCGUAACAAUAACGGUCCUAAGGUAGCGAAAUUCCUUGUCGGGUAAGUUCCGACCUGCACGAAUGGCGUAACGAUGGCCACACUGUCUCCUCCUGAGACUCAGCGAAGUUGAAAUGUUUGUGAUGAUGCAAUCUCCCCGCGGAAAGACGGAAAGACCCCAUGAACCUUUACUGUAGCUUUGUAUUGGACUUUGAACAGAUCUGUGUAGGAUAGGUGGGAGGCUUUGAAGUGUGGUCGCUAGAUCGCAUGGAGCCAACGUUGAAAUACCACCCUGGUGUGUUUGAGGUUCUAACCUAGGCCCGUAAUCCGGGUCGGGGACAGUGCAUGGUAGGCAGUUUGACUGGGGCGGUCUCCUCCCAAAGCGUAACGGAGGAGUUCGAAGGUACGCUAGGUACGGUCGGACAUCGUGCUAAUAGUGCAAUGGCAUAAGCGUGCUUAACUGCGAGACUGACAAGUCGAGCAGAUGCGAAAGCAGGACAUAGUGAUCCGGUGGUUCUGUAUGGAAGGGCCAUCGCUCAACGGAUAAAAGGUACUCUGGGGAUAACAGGCUGAUACCGCCCAAGAGUUCAUAUCGACGGCGGUGUUUGGUACCUCGAUGUCGGCUCAUCUCAUCCUGGGGCUGUAGCCGGUCCCAAGGGUAUGGCUGUUCGCCAUUUAAAGAGGUACGUGAGCUGGGUUUAAAACGUCGUGAGACAGUUUGGUCCCUAUCUUCCGUGGGCGCUGCAGAUUUGAGGAAGCCUGCUCCUAGUACGAGAGGACCGGAGUGGACACACCUCUGGUGUAUCGGUUGUCACGCCAGUGGCAUUGCCGAGUAGCUAUGUGUGGUAGAGAUAACCGCUGAAAGCAUCUAAGCGGGAAACUCGUUUCAAGAUGAGAUCUGCCGGGGCCUUGAGCCCCCUAAAGAGUCGUUCAAGACCAGGACGUUGAUAGGUCGGGUGUGGAAGCGCAGUAAUGCGUUAAGCUAACCGAUACUAAUUGCUCGUGCGGCUUGAUC